CAUAGGGUUUUGUUUUUUUUUCUUUCUUCUUUUCCAAGUUGAGCACUUGAUCAUCUUGUGGUCAUCACCAUCAUCACCAUGAUCAUCACUUGCUCCAUCACUUGGCAUGUACCAACCUCAUUAAGUCUACACACACUUAGUAUAGAGGUUAGUAUUAGGGUUUCAUCAAUUAUCCAAAACCAAACUAGGGCUUUCACCUGCAAACAACACAACCUGAGGCUUCGGUUGCCAACAACAAUCCUCACAAUAGUCAAGCAAAGCAAGAAAUAGUCCACCAUCAACUUUGGUAAUGAACAACAAUGCAAUCAUCCCAAGCAGAGGAAGAAUAUUGACAAUUAUAAGAGGAAACAACAUUGAGCAUGGAAGCAACAUUCAGAAGAG
Molecule: long non-coding RNA, 381 nt
Filed under: Sorghum bicolor (sorghum)
Lineage: Eukaryota; Viridiplantae; Streptophyta; Magnoliopsida; Poales; Poaceae
Description: long non-coding RNA (SBIC_LNC007048)
Source: RNAcentral